RNAcentral lists this ribosomal RNA (2033 nucleotides) under human gut metagenome. Its description in RNAcentral is "bacterial LSU rRNA". It matches the Rfam family "Bacterial large subunit ribosomal RNA", at positions 466 to 2499 of the family's 2925-position model. The record is from RNAcentral.
CUAAAUACUACCCAGUGACCGAUAGCGUAUAGUACUGUGAAGGAAAGGUGAAAAGAACCCCGGGAGGGGAGUGAAAAGAACCUGAAACCUUGUGCUUACAAGCACACAAAGCACGUCAACGUGUGAUGUGGUACCUUUUGUAGAAUGGUCCGGCGAGUGAAUGUAACUGGCGAGGUUAAGUUCUUAAGGAACGGAGCCGAAGCGAAAGCAAGUCUGAAUAGGGCGUCUUAGUCAGUUGUAUUCGACCCGAAACCGGGUGACCUAUCCAUGUCCAGGAUGAAGUUAAGGUAAAACUUGAUGGAGGUCCGAACCCACGGUCGUUGAAAUGCCCGGGGAUGAGAUGUGGAUAGCGGAGAAAUUCCAAUCGAACCCGGAUAUAGCUGGUUCUCUCCGAAAUAGCUUUAGGGCUAGCCUCGACUGAACAUUACCGGAGGUAGAGCACUGAAUGGGCUAGGGGCCGAGAGGUUACUGAACCCUAUCAAACUUCAAAUGCCGGAAAAUGAUAGUCGGGAGUCAGACUGCGUGAGAUAAGUUUCGUAGUCGAAAGGGAAACAGCCCAGACCCACAGCUAAGGUCCCAAAGUACGGUUAAGUGGAAAAGGAUGUGGAGUUGCACAGACAACCAGGAUGUUGGCUUAGAAGCAGCCACUCAUUAAAAGAGUGCGUAAUAGCUCACUGGUCGAGUGACUCUGCGCCGAAAAUUUAACGGGGCUAAAUCGUACACCGAAGCUUGGGAAUAUCAGUUAUUCUUCAUGGACUUGCUAAGGUAAGACACCAUGGCACGGAGUGCCAUCAAAUUGUCCAUAAGGAUAAAGCGAGCUUGUGAAGAAUAACUGAUGUUGGUAGGAGAGCGUUGAAUGCGGGGUGAAGUCAGAGCGAAAGCGCUGGUGGACUGCAUUGAAGUGAGAAUGCCGGAAUGAGUAGCGAGAUUUAUGUGAGAAUCAUAAAGGCCGAAAGACUAAGGUUUCAGAAGGAAGGUUCGUCCGCUUCUGGUUAGCCGGGAGCUAAGGUGAGGCCGAAAGGCGUAGCCGAUGCACAUACGGUGGAGAUUCCGUAGCCGUCGAAAUAUUUAAGCAAAGGGACACUUAUGAAGGACAUGACCCGGGCGAUGGUAGCCCCGGGCGUAAGGGACUGAAAACAAGUAAGGAAGCAUGUUUGGAUUAAGGCGAGAAAAGCUUUGUGUAUAUAUCAGACGUCCGUACCGCAAACCGACACAGGUAGUCAGGAAGAGGAUUCUAAGGCCAACGGGAGAAGGGUAGUUAAGGAACUCGGCAAAUUGACCCCGUAACUUCGGGAUAAGGGGCGGUGCGUAAGCACCCGCAGUGAAUAGGUCCAGGCGACUGUUUAUCAAAAACACAGCUCUCUGCUAAAUCGAAAGAUGACGUAUAGGGGGUGACACCUGCCCGGUGCUGGAAGGUUAAGAGGAGGAGUGCAAGCUCCGAAUUGAAGCCCCAGUAAACGGCGGCCGUAACUAUAACGGUCCUAAGGUAGCGAAAUUCCUUGUCGGGUAAGUUCCGACCCGCACGAAUGGUGUAACGAUCUGGACGCUGUCUCAACUGCCCACCCGGCGAAAUUGUAGUACCGGUGAAGAUGCCGGUUACCCGCGGCAAGACGGAAAGACCCCAUGGAGCUUUACUGUAACUUGAUAUUGGGUCUUGGUAUUCUAUGUACAGGAUAGGCGGGAGACUAUGAAACAUACACGCCAGUGUAUGCGGAGUCACCCUUGGGAUACCGCUCUUAGAGUACUGAGAUUCUAACCUGCGGCCGUGAAUCCGGUCGGGGGACAUUGUCAGGUGGGCAGUUUGACUGGGGCGGUCGCCUCCUAAAAGGUAACGGAGGCGCUCAAAGGUUAGCUCAGCACGGUCGGAAACCGUGCCUCUGAGUGCAAACGCAAAAGCUAGCCUAACUGCGAGGCUGACGGGCCGAGCAGUAACGAAAGUUGGAGUUAGUGAUCCGGCGGUAUGUGAAUGGAAAUGCCGUCGCUCAACGGAUAAAAGCUACCCUGGGGAUAACAGGCUGAUCUCCCCCAAGAGU